AUACGGAGGAUGCAAGCGUUAUCCGGAUUUAUUGGGUUUAAAGGGUGCGUAGGCUGUUCGGAAAGUCAGGGGUGAAAGCCCGGCGCCUAACGCCGGAACUGCCUUUGAUACUUCCGAGCUGGAAUACGGAUGCCGUGGGAGGAAUGAGUAGUGUAGCGGUGAAAUGCAUAGAUAUUACUCAGAACACCGAUUGCGAAGGCAUCUCACGAAUCCGUCAUUGACGCUGAGGCACGAAAGCGUGGGGAUCAAACAGGAUUAGAUACCCUGGUAGUCCACGCAGUAAACGAUGAUGACUAACCGUCGGCGAUACACAGUCGGUGGCCAAGCGAAAGCGAUAAGUCAUCCACCUGGGGAGUACGUUCGCAAGAAUGAAACUUAAAGGAAUUGACGGGG
RNAcentral lists this ribosomal RNA (393 nucleotides) under uncultured bacterium. RNAcentral's name for it is "partial 16S ribosomal RNA". It matches the Rfam family "Bacterial small subunit ribosomal RNA", at positions 523 to 918 of the family's 1533-position model. The record is from RNAcentral.